UACGUAGGCAGCGAGCGUUGUUCGGAGUUACUGGGCGUAAAGAGUGCGUAGGCGGUUGGCUAAGUUUGGUGUGAAAUCUCCCGGCUCAACUGGGAGGGUGCGCCGAAAACUGGCUGGCUGGAGUGUGGGAGAGGCUAGCGGAAUUCCUGGUGUAGCGGUGAAAUGCGUAGAUAUUGGGAGGAACACCAGUGGCGAAGGCGGCUCACUGGACCGGUACUGACGCUGAUGCGCGAAAGCGUGGGGAGCAAACGGG
This 253-nucleotide ribosomal RNA is filed under the name uncultured bacterium. RNAcentral's name for it is "partial 16S ribosomal RNA". It matches the Rfam family "Bacterial small subunit ribosomal RNA", at positions 524 to 776 of the family's 1533-position model. The record is from RNAcentral.